AGUGAACGCUGGCGGUAGGCCUAACACAUGCAAGUCGAACGGCAGCACAGUAAGAGCUUGCUCUUACGGGUGGCGAGUGGCGGACGGGUGAGGAAUACAUCGGAAUCUACUUUUUCGUGGGGGAUAACGUAGGGAAACUUACGCUAAUACCGCAUACGACCUACGGGUGAAAGCAGUGGAUCUUCGGACCUUGCGCGAUUGAAUGAGCCGAUGUCGGAUUAGCUAGUUGGCGGGGUAAAGGCCCACCAAGGCGACGAUCCGUAGCUGGUCUGAGAGGAUGAUCAGCCACACUGGAACUGAGACACGGUCCAGACUCCUACGGGAGGCAGCAGUGGGGAAUAUUGGACAAUGGGCGCAAGCCUGAUCCAGCCAUACCGCGUGAGUGAAGAAGGCCUUCGGGUUGUAAAGCCCUUUUGUUGGGAAAGAAAAGCAGCAGGUUAAUACCUCGCUGUUCUGACGGUACCCAAAGAAUAAGCACCGGCUAACUUCGUG
Molecule: ribosomal RNA, 492 nt
Filed under: uncultured bacterium
Lineage: Bacteria
Description: partial 16S ribosomal RNA
Rfam family: Bacterial small subunit ribosomal RNA
Source: RNAcentral